RNAcentral lists this ribosomal RNA (505 nucleotides) under uncultured bacterium. Its description in RNAcentral is "partial 16S ribosomal RNA". It matches the Rfam family "Bacterial small subunit ribosomal RNA", at positions 28 to 507 of the family's 1533-position model. The record is from RNAcentral.
GACGAACGCUGGCGGCGUGCCUAAUACAUGCAAGUAGAACGCACAGUUUAUACCGUAGCUUGCUCCACCAUAGACUGUGAGUUGCGAACGGGUGAGUAACGCGUAGGUAACCUGCCUGGUAGCGGGGGAUAACUAUUGGAAACGAUAGCUAAUACCGCAUAAUAUUAAUUAUUGCAUGAUAAUUAAUUGAAAGGUGCAAUUGCACCACUACCAGAUGGACCUGCGUUGUAUUAGCUAGUAGGUGAGGUAACGGCUCACCUAGGCGACGAUACAUAGCCGACCUGAGAGGGUGAUCGGCCACACUGGGACUGAGACACGGCCCAGACUCCUACGGGAGGCAGCAGUAGGGAAUCUUCGGCAAUGGACGAAAGGCUGACCGAGCAACGCCGCGUGAGGGAAGAAGGUUGUCGGAUCGGAAAGAUCUGUUGUAAGAGAAGAACGGGUGUGAGAGUGGAAAGUUCACAAUGUGACGGUAUCUUACCAGAAAGGGACGGCUAACUACGUG